RNAcentral lists this non-coding RNA (28 nucleotides) under Homo sapiens (human). The record is from RNAcentral. Lineage: Eukaryota; Metazoa; Chordata; Mammalia; Primates; Hominidae.
CACUGUGAAUCAAGACCAAAUUCGUGAC